This 451-nucleotide ribosomal RNA is filed under the name uncultured bacterium. RNAcentral describes it as "bacterial SSU rRNA". It matches the Rfam family "Bacterial small subunit ribosomal RNA", at positions 28 to 526 of the family's 1533-position model. The record is from RNAcentral.
GAUGAACGCUGGCGGCGUGCUUAACACAUGCAAGUCGAACGAACCUUCGGGUUAGUGGCGGACGGGUGAGUAACGCGUGGGAAUCUGCCCUCAGGAGGGGGAUAACGGCCGGAAACGGCCGCUAAUACCCCAUAUGCCGAGAGGUGAAAUGAAUUUCGCCUGAGGAUGAGCCCGCGUCUGAUUAGCUAGUUGGUGUGGUAAUGGCGCACCAAGGCGACGAUCAGUAGCUGGUCUGAGAGGAUGAUCAGCCACACUGGGACUGAGACACGGCCCAGACUCCUACGGGAGGCAGCAGUGGGGAAUUUUCCGCAAUGGGCGAAAGCCUGACGGAGCAACGCCGCGUGAGGGAUGAAGGCCUCUGGGCUGUAAACCUCUUUUCUCAAGGAAGAAGACAUGACGGUACUUGAGGAAUAAGCCACGGCUAAUUCCGUGCCAGCCGCCGCGGUAAUAC